AUGGCUCGUACUAAGCAGACUGCUCGUAAGUCCACUGGAGGAAAGGCUCCUAGGAAGCAGCUAGCCACAAGGUUUGUGACUGCUGCCCGUAAGUCUGCUCCCACAACUGGAGGAGUGAAGAAGCCUCAUCGUUACCGCCCUGGAACUAUUGCUCUUCGUGAGAUCCGCAAGUACAAGAAGAGCAUGGAGCUACUCAUCAGGAAGCUUCCAUUCCAGAGGCUUGUUAGGUAG
Molecule: ribosomal RNA, 231 nt
Filed under: Triticum aestivum (bread wheat)
Lineage: Eukaryota; Viridiplantae; Streptophyta; Magnoliopsida; Poales; Poaceae
Description: partial small subunit ribosomal RNA
Source: RNAcentral